RNAcentral lists this long non-coding RNA (796 nucleotides) under Equus caballus (horse). RNAcentral's name for it is "lncRNA (ENSECAG00000059622.1)". Lineage: Eukaryota; Metazoa; Chordata; Mammalia; Perissodactyla; Equidae. The record is from RNAcentral.
AGCAGCCACAGGAAACCAACUCAAGCAGCGACUAGAUCAGAUUGGUGGAACAUCAAGUGGUUUCUACCACGUUCCCCUUGACCUUCCCUUCUACAGCCUGGCCUGAUUCGGGGGUCACGAGGCAGGAGAACCAUGGGCAAGAGGGAGCUCGGAGUGCAUAUCCAAACUGGUCUGUAUUUCUGGAAGUCCAGGAAACCCAGGAACCAGGACUGAGAUGUGGGAGUUUGGGUCCUGAAAUCAGCAAGAUGUCAAACAUUUGCAUGGAUGAUCAGACUCAGGGAGAAAGCCUCUUAGUGUCAGUGUUGUCUGUAAUUAAUCUUCAAGCAUCUCAUUGAAAAGACUGCAGAGAAGGGAGGAGCUGAAAUGUUUCUAUGGAAGAAGGAACGGAGCUUCCCAAACUACUCCAGCACGAAAAUCUUCCAGAAGGAUUCUCCCCAGGGCAAUGAGGCAAGAAAUUUAUGGCUUGGCCUGAUUAAUGGGCCAGGCAGUUAAGAGUUCUUUGCCAAACCGUGAGCAUAAUUUAAAGGAUCUGAGGCCCCGUAACUCACAUCCUUAAAGGGCUCUUAGAACAAGAGACACAUUGCAUCACUGAGAACAUCUCCGCUCCUCGUGCCAGAAAAGACCGGCCUGUUUCUGGGUAUUUCUGUCAAAGAACAAAGAGUCUGCAUGAAUAUCGACGGCAGCAAAAAUAAGGAAAAUAUUUGCAGGUCAUAAAUUUCUGGCUGAUGUUACCUUUGUUUUCCGAUGGGCUUGGUAUUUAUUUAACCACGUUCUCUCUCUUCGUGCCUCUCUCCCC